This 497-nucleotide ribosomal RNA is filed under the name uncultured bacterium. Its description in RNAcentral is "partial 16S ribosomal RNA". It matches the Rfam family "Bacterial small subunit ribosomal RNA", at positions 28 to 507 of the family's 1533-position model. The record is from RNAcentral.
GAUGAACGCUGGCGGCGUGCCUAAUACAUGCAAGUCGAGCGAACAGAUAAGGAGCUUGCUCCUUUGACGUUAGCGGCGGACGGGUGAGUUACACGUGGAUAACCUACCUAUAUGACUGGGAUCACUUCGGGAAACCGGCGCUAAUACCGGAUAACAUAUUGAACCGCAUGGUUCAAUAGUGAAAGGCGGCUUUGCUGUCACUUAUAGAUGGAUCUGCGCCGUAUUAGCUAGUUGGUAAGGUAACGGCUUACCAAGGCAACGAUACGUAGCCAACCUGAGAGGGUGAUCGGCCACACUGGAACUGAGACACGGUCCAGACUCCUACGGGAGGCAGCAGUAGGGAAUCUUCCGCAAUGGGCGAAAGCCUGACGGAGCAACGCCGCGUGAGUGAUGAAGGUCUUCGGAUCGUAAAACUCUGUUAUCAGGGAAGAACAAAUGUGUAAGUAACUGUGCACAUCUUGACGGUACCUGAUCAGAAAGCCACGGCUAACUACGUG